RNAcentral lists this long non-coding RNA (5259 nucleotides) under Oreochromis niloticus (Nile tilapia). Its description in RNAcentral is "lncRNA (ENSONIG00000037876.1)". The record is from RNAcentral. Lineage: Eukaryota; Metazoa; Chordata; Actinopteri; Cichliformes; Cichlidae.
AUGGGGGCUGGGGCCUUUCACAAAUGUCAUAGAGCAAGAGGCUACACCCUGGACAGGUCACCAGUCUGUCCCAGGGCUAAUACAGAAAGACAGCUUGUAUUCCUCUCUACAGCCAAUGUAGACUCAACAAAUAAUCUAACAGAGAGAACCCACGCACCUCUAAAACUGUCUACCGUGGCUGACUCCUCUGAUUACAAAAAUAUAAUGAAGCAGGGGAAGCUUGUUGGCAAGGCUACCUUUGUGUUUGACAAACAUCUACUAAAUGAGCCUGCAGUGACUCUCAGUUUCACAGAAACAUCCUAUCUCAGUUUUAAAAUACCAAGAUGGCAAUGGCAAAAGUGUUCAGUUUGAGCCUUCACAACGAAACUUCACUAACCAACAGGUGAUGUCACAGUGUCUUUGUCUUUAAAUACAGUAUAUGGUUACAUAUACAUGAAUGACAAGUCCCAAGUGGAACUGAUGGUGAAUAUUGGUAUUUAUUUAUGGUGAACGCAGAGGAAGCGAUUCAUGACAACCAGAGAUCACAGAAAGUCAUCAAGCAACGGUUGGAUCCUUGGAUAUGCUUGUUUUACCAUGAUUGUGUCAGUUUGGAGAGAGCCUAUGAGGAGGGCUUUUCAACCUACGCAAACAUGCUCCUGUGAAGUCCUCCUAAAACCCAACAGCAUGUAGCUCGGCUAUGCGUAGGUCGAAUGCUGGUUGGUUGGCAAGUGGGCCAAAGAGGUUCAGGGAGUGCCAGGACACUUUUCACUGUUUUUAUCACUCAGUCCCACUUUAGCUAGUUUACUGUUAGAACUUUGCUCUUCUGCAGCUGGCUGACAGACCAGCAACAACACAACCAAGAGUAGCCCACAAACAGGCUGUUCAUACCUCCCCCACGGUCUGCACUGCCAACCGUCAACAAUGUUCACCCCAUAACUGCAAAUUUAUCAUACAGUUGCCGGUUUGCAUAAGCAAACCACCGAUUGAUAUGGCAGGAUGGUAAAUAUUGUUAGAUGAUUACCUAGGCAACCAGAAACUGUCUCAUUUUAUCAUGUUUUUUCCCUUUAAGUUGCAUUUCCCAUCUUAAAACCUGACUGGGAGGUUAUUACUUGACACUAUUUGCUGUCUCUCUCUCCCCCUCUCUGCUGUGGGUUAGUAUGGCUUGGUGACAGUGACACUGGUGUCAAGCAAGCUGAACAAAGAGCUGAUACUGUCCCUGAGGACAAUAGCCUGCCUCUCACGCUGUCUUCUUCCCUCUGAAGCAAACCUACAGGCGAGAAGUAUAUUUAAAUGUUGCUGUAAAAGAAAGAAAGACUCGAUCUUUCAGAAACUGCACGCUCCCUUUGUUUGUCCUUUGGCUGCACUUUCUUCACUCCUUUCCAUUCACUUCAUUCCUAUUCUCUGCUUCUCACUUUCUUCCACUGACCUCUAUUUUCCAUUUUCAUUCACUCUCUCCACUUCUCUCCCACCAUUCAUCUCUGUCUCUUUCCUUUCAGUUUCCGAAAAACCCCCACAUGCAUGUUCUCACAUACACGUGCACAUACAUACACACACAGUGGUUUCCCUGUAAUUGGGUUAUGUGUAACUUCAAAUAGCCCCGGCUGACAAUAGGGAGAGCCCAGAGUUCAUCCUCCCCUCCGUGCUUCUCCUUCUCACCCCUCUUUCCCGCUCUAAACUUAUAUUUGUGUGUUUCAUGUGUGUGUGUGUGUAUGAACAUACUGUAUGAGCACGUGUCGCUGCAUGUGUGAGCAUAUUACCAAGACGUGGGUCUUUUUUUUUAAAGCUUCAAGGUUGUUUUCCUGAUCACACUCUGCAACAUUAAAGUUUACAUGUGAAAUAAUACAUGUAAUUUCAUGCACCCGCACAAAAACACACACACGACCCAUUAUAGCUGUGCACAUGAGCUCACCCUAUCCUAUUAGUAGAAAACAAGAAGAGUGGUGAAUAUUUGCUUAAUAUUUAGGCUAUUACAUAACCAUCAAUAUUUACAAUGCAUUCUGGGAAUUGUGUGCAAUUUUUGCGGUUUUGGUGAGAGAGAGAAAAGAGAAAGAGAAACGGCAUUCAGGGUUGAUGGAGGACAGGAAUGGAAAGGAAAGGAAGAAGACAAAAAAGGAAAGGAAGCAAUGUAAGUAAAUGAAAAGAGAGAAAAGAUAAGGAAAUCAAAGAGAGGAAAGGAAAUAAAGAAGAACAUUAGAAAAAGAAAAGAAAGGGGAGGAAAGGUAAGAAAAUCAAAAAAGGAAAGGAAAGGAGAAAAAGGAAGAAGUUAAAGAAAAGAAAGCAAAGGAUGUUAAGGAAAAGGAAGGAGAAGAAUGACAUGAAGCAAAUGGAAAAGAAAAGAAAUGAAUAGGAAGUCAAAAAAGUAAAGAAAACAAAGGAAGCAAAUGAAAAAAAAUGAUAGAGAAGGAAACUAAAAGAAGGAAAGGAAAGGAAAGGAAAGGAAAGGAAAGGAAAGGAAAGAUGAGAUCAUAAAAGACAGAAGGCAGAGAUUGAAGAAGAGAAAAAGAAAAAUAGAAAAGGGCACUGCAGACUUGGAGAAAAAGUGGCAAAAGAAGGGAAAAGAAAGAGAGGAGAGGAAUAAGUGGGACAUUACGCUGAACAAACAACUAUGUGUCAAAGAGGACUGGUUACGGGGAAAAUGAGAGAAAGAACACUCCAGUGGAUGGUAAAGGUCAUGGGAGACAUGCAAUAUAAGCGUGUCGUGUCUUUACUCUCCUCCUUCUUCAUCUUCCCUUUAAUCUCCUCUUCCUUAUACCUCAAUCCUCUUAUAAUCGCAUACAUGUUGACCCAACUCCAACCACAGAGGCAGAAACACUUUAACUGAAACGCCAACAGCACGCAGGCCUAUGCUCUGUAAAGCCCAGAGAGCCUAGUGUUAAUAAAGGCAACCUAAAAACGGACCCAAAACUCAAAGUUAAAUACAAGCAUGAAAGAAAAGCUUUAGCCUUAGCUCUGAGGAUGUUCAUAUCACAUGUCAAGCUGCUCAGUCACAUAAAUCACCCUCAUUAGUUUGAGUAUUUAAAUAAUUUCAAAGCAAAGUAAAUUCUCUCAGAGGGGAAGCCAGCAUGUCUCUCUGGCUUUGUGUUCGGGGGCAAUAAAGACAAAACAGUCAGAGUUAUCUUUCGCUGCAUCCCUGCCGCUUGGAGUGUGUCACAGCAUACAACAUCAAAGCAAUCAGGUCAUAAAAAUACAGAAAAAUCGGUGCAUAUAAGGAUACGGCUUUGAGAUGGUGUUUUUAAACUGAAAUAGUGAGAGUGGCCAUGAGUAGACAGCAAAUAAACAGGGACGACAUUAAUAUAUACACCCUUAUGUUUAUAUUAACCUUAACUUCAACUAAAUUUGCUGCCUUCCAGAGCUUUUCAUCUCCAGAAAACAAAAAAUGAUGAGAAAGACCAACUUAAAUGUCAAGGCGACAUUUCAGCUCAGUUUGGAGGGUGACGGUGGGCUGCUGAGUGCAAGAGAGAGAGAGACAAAAAGAGAGCGAGUGGGAUCUUAACUCCUCAUGUGGAGGCUUCAUCCUGUUCAACCAAUGCUCAUCUCUGCAAGGUUAGCAGGUUUCGGGUUAAAGCGUAAAAGUUGGGACUUCAGGAGUCACCAGAAUGCAAAACAGCCACAAAAAAACAAGUUGCGUGCUCCUGCGUGAUGACAAGCCUAUAGGAAAACAAGGAGAACUGCCAGCAGCCUAUACCCUAUUUCCCCCUUUUUUUCUAAGGUAUUCACGUGUGUGCGUGCGCGAGGCACGCGGCAGAAGGCUGUGUCACCGUCUCUAUAAUGUGACGGUGCUGUGGGCCAAAGUCAUCAAUCACGCAGAUCGAAGCCGCAACAUUAAAUCACUACAGACCCCCACCCCGAGCGAUGACAGCGGAGCGUGAAUCCGUCCCGGUAAAAAGCCGCGGUCUCUCGGACAUCCAUCUGUCAACAAGUACACGAAAAACACCGCCAAAGCCAAAACAUGCUCUGGCGCACAGGAGCCACGCGCUCAGUAGUGGCAUGUAGCUUACCUGAGUGGACUUAGUGGGACGACCUGAGCAAUAACACCUGUAACUCUGGAGAAACGAACCCGGGGCUGGUUUGAUGGGGAAGGCUAAUUAAAGCUGUGAGUGCCGUGCAGCACGAGGGAGAGCAGCUGCGCAGAGAGAAUUACUGACCCGAGACCACCUGAUAAAAUAAUAAAACUGACACGAGACAGAGCAACAGAGCGAGCUCCGAUCCCGCCCCUGCUGCUGCUCCUGAUGAUGAUGAUGAUAAUGAUGAUGAUGAGAGUAGUGAUGAUAAUCAUGGAGAUUAUGGUGAUGGGGAAGAAAGAGACAGCCAUCCUCUGAGACUGUCACGAGAGCGCAUCUGGUGGGGGGGUGAUCACAUCUGGCCGACACGCUGACUGCCUCCUCUCCAAAUAUUAAAAGAGAGACGCACGCACACCUACUCUGUCCGGUGCGGUCACAUGCGUUUCGACCCGGUCUUUUUAGCGGUGAUGCAGCCCGUGCGGUGCGCAGCGUGCAGGUUUUUACUCACCCCGGCUGCUGUCGCCGCCAGUCUCCGUCCGAUCGCGUGUCCUACCCUGUGAUUUAACGGGAGAGAGGGCGAGCCGUGGGCGCAUCCAGCCCCCAUCAGCGCCAUCCAGCGCUGCGGUCGCGGAACACCGCUCUCGCGAUACCGUGCCAUCUCCUCCAGCUCUCUCCGCUCCAACAUGUGACGUAGCGCUUUUAUCACGCUGUUUGCUCAGCCCUAUGCCGCCGCCUUCUGGGCACGAGGCGCGUGGAGUGCGAGGAUGGUGAUGAUGUCAUCCCACGGCUCACCUUCUGCCCUUACCUGUUUUUUGAUCUCCCUGUUUUUCUCUCGUAUCUGACCCGCUGGCAGCAACACGCAGAGGACAUCUGUUUAGUUUUUGUAGCUGGAGACGUGCCAGCACCAGUUUAGAGUCACUAACAGGAACUGCUGGUAGAGCAGGUGAGAGGUCAUGCGGAUACCGUUUAGUUUGGCACUGGGAAGUGCGCGUGAGAGAAUAAAACGGUUUGAAGUCUUUCAAGAACAUAUAUGAUGUGUCUUACUCGUGUUUGGCAUCUUUAUCUUGAGGGCCAGUCGAAUUUGCCCGCCAAUAGCUAUCCAUCCUCUGCGCAUAUCCAGACCAUCUCAGUCUUGCCUCUCUGACUUUGAAUCCAAACCACUCAACACUGACCUGUAGGUGUGAUGUACUAAUUUCUAAUCCUGACCACUGAGGUCACUCCAAAUGAAAAUGUUAAACAGCUGUGUUUUAAUACUAUUGAAAAAGGUAUUGAAAUAUUA